Molecule: ribosomal RNA, 912 nt
Filed under: Escherichia coli
Lineage: Bacteria; Pseudomonadati; Pseudomonadota; Gammaproteobacteria; Enterobacterales; Enterobacteriaceae
Description: partial 23S ribosomal RNA
Rfam family: Bacterial large subunit ribosomal RNA
Source: RNAcentral
UGUGUGUUAGUGGAAGCGUCUGGAAAGGCGCGCGAUACAGGGUGACAGCCCCGUACACAAAAAUGCACAUGCUGUGAGCUCGAUGAGUAGGGCGGGACACGUGGUAUCCUGUCUGAAUAUGGGGGGACCAUCCUCCAAGGCUAAAUACUCCUGACUGACCGAUAGUGAACCAGUACCGUGAGGGAAAGGCGAAAAGAACCCCGGCGAGGGGAGUGAAAAAGAACCUGAAACCGUGUACGUACAAGCAGUGGGAGCACGCUUCGGCGUGUGACUGCGUACCUUUUGUAUAAUGGGUCAGCGACUUAUAUUCUGUAGCAAGGUUAACCGAAUAGGGGAGCCGAAGGGAAACCGAGUCUUAACUGGGCGUUAAGUUGCAGGGUAUAGACCCGAAACCCGGUGAUCUAGCCAUGGGCAGGUUGAAGGUUGGGUAACACUAACUGGAGGACCGAACCGACUAAUGUUGAAAAAUUAGCGGAUGACUUGUGGCUGGGGGUGAAAGGCCAAUCAAACCGGGAGAUAGCUGGUUCUCCCCGAAAGCUAUUUAGGUAGCGCCUCGUGAAUUCAUCUCCGGGGGUAGAGCACUGUUUCGGCAAGGGGGUCAUCCCGACUUACCAACCCGAUGCAAACUGCGAAUACCGGAGAAUGUUAUCACGGGAGACACACGGCGGGUGCUAACGUCCGUCGUGAAGAGGGAAACAACCCAGACCGCCAGCUAAGGUCCCAAAGUCAUGGUUAAGUGGGAAACGAUGUGGGAAGGCCCAGACAGCCAGGAUGUUGGCUUAGAAGCAGCCAUCAUUUAAAGAAAGCGUAAUAGCUCACUGGUCGAGUCGGCCUGCGCGGAAGAUGUAACGGGGCUAAACCAUGCACCGAAGCUGCGGCAGCGACACUGUGUGUUGUUGGGUAGGGGAGCGU